This 634-nucleotide ribosomal RNA is filed under the name uncultured organism. RNAcentral describes it as "bacterial SSU rRNA". It matches the Rfam family "Bacterial small subunit ribosomal RNA", at positions 767 to 1405 of the family's 1533-position model. The record is from RNAcentral.
AGCGAACAGGAUUAGAUACCUGGGUAGUCCACGCCGUAAACUUUGCUCACUCGCUGUUGGCGAUAGACAGUCAGCGGCCAAGGGAAACCGAUAAGUGAGCCACCUGGGGAGUACGUCCGCAAGGUUGAUACUCAAAGGAAUUGACGGGGGCCCGCACAAGCGGUGGAACAUGUGGUUUAAUUCGAUGAUACGCGAGGAACCUUACCUGGGCUUAAAUGUGAAGUGCAUUGAUUGGAAACAAUCAUUUCCUUCGGGACCCUUUACAAGGUGCUGCAUGUUUGUCGUCAGCUCGUCCCGUGAGGUGUCGGGUUAAGUCCCAUAACGAGCGCAACCCCUAUUGUUAGUUACCAGCGCGUGAUGGCGGUGACUCUAGCGAAACUGCCGGUGUAAACCGCGAGGAAGGUGGGGAUGACGUCAAAUCAGCACGGCCCUUAUGUCCAGGGCUACACACGUGUUACAAUGGCCGGUACAGCGGUCAGCUAGGCAGCGAUGUCAUGCUAAUCCCGAAAGCCGGUCCCAGUUCGGAUUGGAGUCUGCAACCCGACUCCAUGAAGGUGGAAUCGCUAGUAAUCGCGCAUCAGCCAUGGCGCGGUGUAUACGUUCCCGGGCAUGUACACACCGCCCGUCAAGCCAU